AGAACGAACGCUGGCGGCGUGGAUAAGACAUGCAAGUCGAACGGAAUUAUUUGGUAGUAAUAUUAAAUAAUUCAGUGGCGAACGGGUGCGUAACACGUGGAUAACAUUCCGAAAAGCGAGGAAUAGCCCAGGGAAACUUGGAUUAAUACCUCAUGUGGUCGUAAGACUAAAGGCGCAAGCCACUUUUCGAUUGGUCCGCGGCCUAUCAGCUAGUUGGCGGGGUAAAAGCCCACCAAGGCGACGACGGGUAGCUGGUCUUAGAGGACGACCAGCCACACUGGAACUGAGACACGGUCCAGACACCUACGGGUGGCAGCAGUCGAGAAUCUUUCACAAUGGGGGCAACCCUGAUGGAGCGACGCCGCGUGGAGGAUAAGGUCUUCGGAUUGUAAACUCCUGUCAUGCGAGAACAAAGCCCGCGAGGGUCUGAUAGUAUCGCAAGAGGAAGAGACGGCUAACUCUGUGCCAGCAGCCGC
RNAcentral lists this ribosomal RNA (476 nucleotides) under uncultured bacterium. RNAcentral's name for it is "SSU rRNA". It matches the Rfam family "Bacterial small subunit ribosomal RNA", at positions 26 to 518 of the family's 1533-position model. The record is from RNAcentral.